This 1372-nucleotide ribosomal RNA is filed under the name uncultured bacterium. RNAcentral's name for it is "bacterial SSU rRNA". It matches the Rfam family "Bacterial small subunit ribosomal RNA", at positions 28 to 1381 of the family's 1533-position model. The record is from RNAcentral.
GAUAAACGCUGGCGGCGUGCCUAAUACAUGCAAGUCGAGCGAACGGACGAGAAGCUUGCUUCUCUGAUGUUAGCGGCGGACGGGUGAGUAACACGUGGAUAACCUACCUAUAAGACUGGGAUAACUUCGGGAAACCGGAGCUAAUACCGGAUAAUAUUUUGAACCGCAUGGUUCAAAAGUGAAAGACGGUCUUGCUGUCACUUAUAGAUGGAUCCGCGCUGCAUUAGCUAGUUGGUAAGGUAACGGCUUACCAAGGCAACGAUGCAUAGCCGACCUGAGAGGGUGAUCGGCCACACUGGAACUGAGACACGGUCCAGACUCCUACGGGAGGCAGCAGUAGGGAAUCUUCCGCAAUGGGCGAAAGCCUGACGGAGCAACGCCGCGUGAGUGAUGAAGGUCUUCGGAUCGUAAAACUCUGUUAUUAGGGAAGAACAUAUGUGUAAGUAACUGUGCACAUCUUGACGGUACCUAAUCAGAAAGCCACGGCUAACUACGUGCCAGCAGCCGCGGUAAUACGUAGGUGGCAAGCGUUAUCCGGAAUUAUUGGGCGUAAAGCGCGCGUAGGCGGUUUUUUAAGUCUGAUGUGAAAGCCCACGGCUCAACCGUGGAGGGUCAUUGGAAACUGGAAAACUUGAGUGCAGAAGAGGAAAGUGGAAUUCCAUGUGUAGCGGUGAAAUGCGCAGAGAUAUGGAGGAACACCAGUGGCGAAGGCGACUUUCUGGUCUGUAACUGACGCUGAUGUGCGAAAGCGUGGGGAUCAAACAGGAUUAGAUACCCUGGUAGUCCACGCCGUAAACGAUGAGUGCUAAGUGUUAGGGGGUUUCCGCCCCUUAGUGCUGCAGCUAACGCAUUAAGCACUCCGCCUGGGGAGUACGACCGCAAGGUUGAAACUCAAAGGAAUUGACGGGGACCCGCACAAGCGGUGGAGCAUGUGGUUUAAUUCGAAGCAACGCGAAGAACCUUACCAAAUCUUGACAUCCUUUGACAACUCUAGAGAUAGAGCCUUCCCCUUCGGGGGACAAAGUGACAGGUGGUGCAUGGUUGUCGUCAGCUCGUGUCGUGAGAUGUUGGGUUAAGUCCCGCAACGAGCGCAACCCUUAAGCUUAGUUGCCAUCAUUAAGUUGGGCACUCUAAGUUGACUGCCGGUGACAAACCGGAGGAAGGUGGGGAUGACGUCAAAUCAUCAUGCCCCUUAUGAUUUGGGCUACACACGUGCUACAAUGGACAAUACAAGGGGCAGCGAAACCGCGAGGUCAAGCAAAUCCCAUAAAGUUGUUCUCAGUUCGGAUUGUAGUCUGCAACUCGACUGCAUGAAGCUGGAAUCGCUAGUAAUCGUAGAUCAGCAUGCUACGGUGAAUACGUUCCCGGGUCU